GACGAACGCUGGCGGCGUGCUUAACACAUGCAAGUCGAACGGAAAGGCCCUGCUUUUGUGGGGUGCUCGAGUGGCGAACGGGUGAGUAACACGUGAGUAACCUGCCCUUGACUUUAGGAUAACUUCAGGAAACUGGGGCUAAUACCGGAUAGGAGCUCCUGCUGCAUGGUGGGGGUUGGAAAGUUUCGGCGGUUGGGGAUGGACUCGCGGCUUAUCAGCUUGUUGGUGGGGUAGUGGCUUACCAAGGCUUUGACGGGUAGCCGGCCUGAGAGGGUGACCGGCCACAUGGGGACUGAGAUACGGCCCAGACUCCUACGGGAGGCAGCAGUGGGGAAUAUUGCACAAUGGGCGGAAGCCUGAUGCAGCAACGCCGCGUGCGGGAUGACGGCCUUCGGGUUGUAAACCGCUUUCGCCUGUGACGAAGCGUGAGUGACGGUAAUGGGUAAAGAAGCACCGGCUAACUACGUG
This 468-nucleotide ribosomal RNA is filed under the name uncultured bacterium. RNAcentral's name for it is "partial 16S ribosomal RNA". It matches the Rfam family "Bacterial small subunit ribosomal RNA", at positions 28 to 507 of the family's 1533-position model. The record is from RNAcentral.